GGCGUGUCGUGUUACCGCAGAACUUCGCCUGUUGCCGUGGUACGCGGAAGUUGCACCUAUUAAGAGCACGACAACCCAUCUCUUUUGCAAGGAAGAAGACAGUUGGGGAUAUUCGGAUUUUAUAUUUAUGGAGGAUUUACUGGAUCCGGCAAACGGCUACGUCGAUCCAAGGGACUUCUCCGUGAAACUGCAAGUUCACCUGACCGCUUAUCUUCCGGCUGAACUGGCAUGAAUGUAACGUGCA
Paramacrobiotus metropolitanus is the source of this 244-nucleotide long non-coding RNA. RefSeq lists it as uncharacterized. NCBI's taxonomy places the organism in Eukaryota, Metazoa, Tardigrada, Eutardigrada, Parachela, Macrobiotidae. The transcript has 3 exons. The record is from RefSeq and is a predicted model, not a curated record.